Molecule: ribosomal RNA, 271 nt
Filed under: uncultured bacterium
Lineage: Bacteria
Description: partial 16S ribosomal RNA
Rfam family: Bacterial small subunit ribosomal RNA
Source: RNAcentral
UGUGACCUACGGGGCGCAGCAGUGGGGAAUAUUGCACAAUGGGGGAAACCCUGAUGCAGCGACGCCGCGUGAGAGAAGAAGUAUUUCGGUAUGUAAAGCUCUAUCAGCAGGGAAGAAAAUGACGGUACCUGACUAAGAAGCCCCGGCUAACUACGUGCCAGCAGCCGCGGUAAUACGUAGGGGGCAAGCGUUAUCCGGAUUUACUGGGUGUAAAGGGAGCGUAGACGGCACGGCAAGUCUGAAGUGAAAGGCAGGUGCUUAACCCCUGAAC